GAGUUUGAUCAUGGCUCAGAGUGAACGCUGGCGGCAGGCCUAAUACAUGCAAGUCGAACGGCAGCACAGCAGAGCUUGCUCUGUGGGUGGCGAGUGGCGGACGGGUGAGGAAUACAUGGGAAUCUGCCCAGUCGUGGGGAUAACGUAGGGAAACUUACGCUAAUACCGCAUGCGCCCUUCGGGGGAAAGCCGGGGACCGUAAGGCCUGGCGCGAUUGGAUGAGCCCAUGUCGGAUUAGCUAGUUGGCGGGUAAAGGCCCACCAAGGCGACGAUCCGUAGCUGGUCUGAGAGGAUGAUCAGCCACACUGGAACUGAGACACGGUCCAGACUCCUACGGGAGGCAGCAGUAGGGAAUAUUGGACAAUGGGCGCAAGCCUGAUCCAGCCAUGCCGCGUGAGUGAAGAAGGCCCUCGGGUUGUAAAGCUCUUUUGUCCGGAAAGAAAAGCGCCGGGUUAAUACCCUGGUGUCCUGACGGUACCGGAAGAAUAAGCACCGGCUAACUUCGUG
This 507-nucleotide ribosomal RNA is filed under the name uncultured bacterium. Its description in RNAcentral is "bacterial SSU rRNA". It matches the Rfam family "Bacterial small subunit ribosomal RNA", at positions 9 to 507 of the family's 1533-position model. The record is from RNAcentral.